CAAGACGUAGCUACAAUAAAGCAUUCAGCUUACACCUGAAAGAUAUCUGAAACAUAAACCAGAUCGCCUUGA
This 72-nucleotide transfer RNA is filed under the name Eudynamys scolopaceus (Asian koel). RNAcentral's name for it is "tRNA-Val". Lineage: Eukaryota; Metazoa; Chordata; Aves; Cuculiformes; Cuculidae. The record is from RNAcentral.